This is a long non-coding RNA of Cyprinus carpio carpio, 2624 nucleotides long. The record is from Ensembl. Lineage: Eukaryota; Metazoa; Chordata; Actinopteri; Cypriniformes; Cyprinidae.
UUUAUACUCACCUCAUUUACCUCACCCUCAUUUGAUUCCUCAUUUGAAACUUUCUUUUUUUCCAUGGAACACAGAAGUUGAAUUAUAGUUUAAUUACCCAUUCCCAUUUAAAAUAAAGUAAAUGGGUACUGGAGCUGUCAAGCCUAAAUAAUCUGUAAUUUAGGAUAUUCACUGCUUCUAAAUAUUCAUUCUAAAUUGAAUACUCAUUAUUUAUUGAAUUUAACGCUAAUAUCAGUCAAAUUGCACGAAAAAGAGUGACCUCCUUCUGUGUUUCACAAAAGGAAGUCUUACAGGCUUGAAAUGACAUGAGGUUAGGAAAAUAAUGACAGAAUUUAUAGUUGAACUGACUAUAAAUUUAGAUCCUGUCUCUGCAAUAUUUAAGCCUUUUUUAACACAUUGCUUUAAUAUCUCUUUUCUGUUUGAUUCUCACCACUGAAUGCAGAGAUGGUCCUGGCUGUCUCACCAGGUAACAGGCUCCAUCCAGUGACCCGCUGAGUGAUGAUGUGGAGAGGUCUUGUUUGUCACUGUUUGUUAUUCUCCACACAAGACCCAGCUAAUGGCCUGCACAUACUCAGAUGAAACACCAACUGUGACACACACACAGAAUACGGACAGAUGUAAUGCAUCCUCCGUGCGAGUUCUACGUUUGCAAACCACAUCACAUUGCAAAAUAUAUAAUCACAGCCUUCAGAAUUGUUAGUUGCUGAGAAACUGUUGCAAACUUUCUCAAAUGUAACAUUGCUUCACUCUGCACAUGAACAACCUCAUGCAUUCAUAAUGCUAGUGAAGAGAAUACACUUUCUCUUUUACAGAUUUAUUAUUUGAUUUAUUUAUUCUUGCAUGUUGGUAAUGAAAAUUAGGAAAAUACAUUUUAAAAUAAAAGUAUAAUGAAAGUAAUAUAAUAUAAUAUAAUAUAAUAUAAUAUAAUAUAAUAUAAUAUAAUAUAAUAUAAUAUAAUUGCAUUAUGUCCUAAAGCAGCAACCUCUCAGGUUUCAUGAAAAAUAUCUUCAUUUGUGUUUUGAAGAUCUUAUGGGUUUGGAAAAAUAUGGGGCUAUAAAUAAGGACAGUGAAUAAUAUGAGUAAAUAAGGACAGAAUUUUAAUUUUGGGUGAACUAUCCCUUUAAGUUAAAAAAGCACCUGAAAGCACCUCAUUAUGAGAUGCUAAGCCUGGGAAUCUGUGAAACCCUUGUGCAGAACUCACUUCAACACACUCCACUACAGAUCUCAGUGAUUUAUUGCAGCAUGUUGAGGGAUUGUCAUGUCAAACCCGACCCGAUCUCACAAAAAAAGUAACUAUUUUAUGAGAUGAUGAUUUUGUAAGAAUUUGUAUGAUGUGAAUCUUUUGAAACACGUAUGAAUUUUAGAAAAAAAUGUAAGCAUGAGGGUCCCUACCCUAGUGAAAAACAAUCAAACUAAAAUUUAUUUGAAAUACAUUUAUUUCAUGCUGCGUAUACUACAAAUAGAUUUACAUAUUUAUUUACUUAAUACAAAACUUUUAGUAUACUAAACUGGUUUACUUAUAGUCUGCUAAAUUGGUACAACUAAUUUUUUAGGGUACUUAGUGCACUUUAAUUGUGUGGUAGUAGUGCUGAGGUACAACUAAAGAUACACUGAAGUAUUUGAUUGUGCAAAAAAGUGGAAUUAUUGCAAGUAUAGUUUAGGUACAAUUUAAAUAUCUUGCAUUUAAAGACUGAUAUUAUAAAGAUCAUACAAUUCUCAUCAACAGUGACAUUAAAACACAUUUUAGGCUUAAUAUUAAGAAAUGUGCAUUGUGCACAAGUAGUACUCCAAAUAAAGUUUAAUUAUAAUAUUGAUAUCAGUAAGUCUCAAGCGACAUGUCAGUAAAUAUGUCAAUAGAUUUGAACUAUACUUAGUAUGAAAUAAAUGUAUAUUAAACAAAUUAUUUUUUAAUAGGGUAAACCCACUCCUAAACAUAACUGUCACUGGGGCAUGAACAUAUUUCACGAAAGCAAAAAAUACAAAUUUGUCACUAAUUAGCCAAAAUGUUAAAUAGUUACAAACUGUGAUUUUGUUUGCUAAACCCUAGUGCUAUAAGCAUAUUCCUGCAUUAAAGAACAAACCAAACCUCCACCAUUCACAGGAUGUUUACAGUUACAGACUGUUGCCUCUGAGUCUGAACCAUCCCAGAUUACCAGGCAUGGGUUCUUGGCCUAUCUUAAUGUUUAUGAUAGUGGAGAAUGAAGAUCUUUUAUAUUUUUUUAAAUGUAAUUUUACCUCAAGUUUAGUCAUUGGAAGCUUAUAAUGACUAAUAUUAUUAGACCGAUUAGAGUUCAGUUGUAAAAAUAACACCACAAAGGGUUUAGGUGUUACUAUACAUAUAUGUCUAGACGGCAUGUGCAGUGCCUUUUGUUUUGAUUAAUCACUGAAAUGUGAAGUUUGUUUGAAGCAAGUUGCCAGCUGUGGUCUGUAAAACUUCAGUGAAGUUGGAGGCCCAUUUGCUCAGAUCCAAAACUCUCUGGCAACAGAAACAUCAUUUACUUUGUUUUAAAAUGCUUUAUUUAUUUUCCUGUUGCACUUAAAAUUUUUUGAGAGCUUCAAUGUACCAUCAAACCAGCCAUGAAAUGGGCAUUAUAACAGCGUAUAUUUCUCUCUGGGUGGGUUAA